UACGGAGGGUGCAAGCGUUAUCCGGAUUCACUGGGUUUAAAGGGUGCGUAGGUGGGUUGGUAAGUCAGUGGUGAAAUCUCCGAGCUUAACUUGGAAACUGCCAUUGAUACUAUCAGUCUUGAAUAUUGUGGAGGUCAGCGGAAUAUGUCAUGAAGCGGUGAAAUGCUUAGAUAUGACAUAGAACACCAAUUGCGAAGGCAGCUGGCUACACAUAUAUUGACACUGAGGCACGAAAGCGUGGGGAUCAAACAGG
Molecule: ribosomal RNA, 253 nt
Filed under: uncultured bacterium
Lineage: Bacteria
Description: partial 16S ribosomal RNA
Rfam family: Bacterial small subunit ribosomal RNA
Source: RNAcentral